Long non-coding RNA from Ruditapes philippinarum (Manila clam), 336 nucleotides. RefSeq lists it as uncharacterized. The transcript is spliced from 4 exons. The record is from RefSeq and is a predicted model, not a curated record. NCBI's taxonomy places the organism in Eukaryota, Metazoa, Mollusca, Bivalvia, Venerida, Veneridae.
AAACUUUCUAUAUUUAGAUUGUUAAGUUCAUUAUCUUUGUGCAUUCUUCACCUACAUUGUCAACGAUAAAUUCGGGAUUGAACUUGGAAAUGCAGUUUGUCAUCGUCCUCGCUUACAUUACAUAUAACAUCCUUGCACUAGAUGUAGAUGGAAUGUUACAGGAACGUUCUCAUUUGUCAGAGAGAUUUUUGGUUGACAUUUUCAUUCCGUCUAAAUUAAAAAAAGAGGAAUGUAUGUUAUGUAAGUGUUACAAGGAAUGUCAUGCUAGCCAGUACGUGAUAUUCGACGAGAAUUCCAUAUGUAAACCGUAUUGGGACUCCAUAUCGUGUCAAGGUA